RNAcentral lists this long non-coding RNA (350 nucleotides) under Brachypodium distachyon (stiff brome). RNAcentral describes it as "long non-coding RNA (BDIS_LNC000471)". The record is from RNAcentral. Lineage: Eukaryota; Viridiplantae; Streptophyta; Magnoliopsida; Poales; Poaceae.
CUGUGCAAACUAAUCAGCAAAAAACAAACGGACAAACAAAUUGGCAGAGCCGCUCAUUCCCUUCUUCCUCUCACGCUGAAGACAGAUGCUGCGUUCUGCAGUUCAGAUCCGCCCACACUCUCCGACCAUCUGCGCCCGGCGUGGUCGGCGUGCCACCCACACUGCCUGCCAUGGCCCUCGUGCUGCAAGACGUGCAGGGGGCGCCGGCACCACCAUGGAUCCCACGGCCGCCGGCGGCUGGAAGAGGGAUGGAGGGAGUCCGAUGCAGGCUGUAGCGGCACGGCAGCUCGGUCCCUCGCCUUUAGCUGUGCUGACGGCUCGGAGAGGCAGAGGAAGAGGGAGGGGGAGAG